UACCGGCGAUGUGUAUCGGUUCAAUACAUGUCGAUGACCUCCCACGCUAACCGAUACAACUACACGAACAAAAAGGAUAUACGUCUCUUGAGUAGCCGUGUAGUCUUCUCCUACAACAAUAGACGUUAUCGUUGCCACUCGUGUCUUGGGUGUAGUUUGUAGUAUGAGUGGGACGAAUACAAAAUACGAUUGUUAACCAUGCGCACGAAGUGAUAUACAACCACGGCACGCCAGCGUUGUUCCUCGGAGCGUGGACUCGGAGAGGAAGGCGGAAAGCGGGUUCUCCUGGAUCUUAGAAACCGUUCUUUGGUUUUAGUCUAGUGGUAGAGGUGAUGUAGUAAACACCUAGUCAGAAGACGCUGUGGGCCCUGUACGAGAUGUAGCUCCUCAUGCUACCGUUCGGCCGCUACCGUACUGCUCGUCUGCGAGCUCGUCCACUCGCAGGUGAGUCACCCCCACCACCUCCCGCCAUUGUCAUUAUUCUCAACAGUACGAUAGUCCAAUCAUAAUUUAGUCCCCUCCAUGUAGUUGUUGUUCAAGUCGUUGGUCAUGUUCCGCUACUUGCCUCAUAUGUUAUUCCAAUGACAAGAAUGUCUAUCCUAGUCCGACAAUCCUAGUUAUAACUACUUCACGUCGUUGUUUUGUACAAAUUCUAAGUAGAGACGACGAAAGGCAAAAUGAGAAGAAAGCUUACUUCUCUUACUCGUCGGUCUCACGUAGUAGGCGCCUUGUGGACCACCGUAGGCCAUGAAACCACUCGAACUUCUGGUGACAAUGACCCCAUUAUUCAUGAUGCACACGUGUUAGUUGUUUUGUAGACGGUUCGGUCCGGUCGCGUACAUAAAAGUCCAUGUUAUAUGACUUCUCUUGGACAACCUGAUGUAACUAGGUGUGUUACUAUGUGAGUACCAGUCUGAACUUAUAGUGUAAUACGAUCCUUGACUGUUUUCCCGGUGAUAUUGGUGGUUGACCAGGCUCAAAGCAGCGGCACGCUUGUAAGCACUUCCUCUGUAGAUGCGAAAAGCAAAGCUCCAGUGAAGUUUGGCGGCCGACCAAGAGUGACACGUGGGGGAGAUC
Molecule: ribosomal RNA, 1077 nt
Filed under: Triticum aestivum (bread wheat)
Lineage: Eukaryota; Viridiplantae; Streptophyta; Magnoliopsida; Poales; Poaceae
Description: partial small subunit ribosomal RNA
Source: RNAcentral